This 424-nucleotide ribosomal RNA is filed under the name uncultured bacterium. RNAcentral describes it as "bacterial SSU rRNA". It matches the Rfam family "Bacterial small subunit ribosomal RNA", at positions 355 to 776 of the family's 1533-position model. The record is from RNAcentral.
UAAGGAAUAUUGGUCAAUGGAGGCAACUCUGAACCAGCCAUGCCGCGUGCAGGAAGACUGCCCUAUGGGUUGUAAACUGCUUUUAUCCGGGAAUAAACCUCAUUACGUGUAAUGAGCUGAAUGUACCGGAAGAAUAAGGAUCGGCUAACUCCGUGCCAGCAGCCGCGGUAAUACGGAGGAUCCAAGCGUUAUCCGGAUUUAUUGGGUUUAAAGGGUGCGUAGGCGGCCUGUUAAGUCAGGGGUGAAAGACGGUAGCUCAACUAUCGCAGUGCCCUUGAUACUGAUGGGCUUGAAUGGACUAGAGGUAGGCGGAAUGAGACAAGUAGCGGUGAAAUGCAUAGAUAUGUCUCAGAACACCGAUUGCGAAGGCAGCUUACUAUGGUCUUAUUGACGCUGAGGCACGAAAGCGUGGGGAUCAAACAGG